AUCGCCUCUCGGCCUUUUGGCUAAGAUCAAGUGUAGUAUCUGUUGUUAUCAGUUUAAUGUAUGUAGGGCCAAACGGUGACACAGGAAGUAAUUCAUUUGAUUAUUGAUUUUUUUUUGUUUGUUAAUCCUCACCCAAGGAUAUUUUUCCAUUGAUUUUUAGAUAGAGUGGAAGGGAGGGAGAAACA
Molecule: small nuclear RNA, 185 nt
Organism: Molossus molossus (Pallas's mastiff bat)
Lineage: Eukaryota; Metazoa; Chordata; Mammalia; Chiroptera; Molossidae
Product: U2 spliceosomal RNA
Exons: 1
Source: RefSeq, a predicted model, not a curated record